This 1103-nucleotide long non-coding RNA is filed under the name Pseudonaja textilis. Its description in RNAcentral is "lncRNA (ENSPTXG00000017841.1)". The record is from RNAcentral. Lineage: Eukaryota; Metazoa; Chordata; Lepidosauria; Squamata; Elapidae.
CCUCAAUUUAAUUCUGAUGGUUCUUUUUCCCCCGUGAAGUACACAUUUCGUGAAGCCCUGAAAAUUUCAGGGAAAGAAGAGAAAAGCUUAUUUAACUACCCGCAGGCACUUGGAAUGGUACAAGUCAAAUUUCCUUGAAUUAGCUAUUAGACACCCUAAUUGCAUUUUAUUUGCAUUUUAUAGCAUUAGGAUUCAGGUUGCCUGCCAGGUUUAAAGCUAAUCAAUGUGAUCACAUAGAAAGAUUUAAACUGCUCAGGGAUUGUUCGGAAGUGAGGAAGAUUGGGGAACGAGGCAGACGGGGAGAAGGAGGAGGAGGAGGUGGAUAGAUGGAUGGAUGGAUGGAUGGAUGGAUGGAUGGAUGGAUGGAUGGAUUGUGGGAUCCUUGCUGCUCUCUGAGCUUAGUCGUUUUAUUGCAGAAGUUUCAUUAGCCAACUACGGAACAUCAUCAUCUUCCUUUGCCUUCUCACUUUUUCCUUCUUUCCUUCCCUCCUUCCUUCUUUCCUUCCUUCCUUUUCCUCCCUCCCUUUCUUGCCUUUCUUCUUACUUCAUCCCUCUCUUCCUCCAAUCUUUCCUUCCUUCCUUCCUCUCUCCCUCCCUCCCCUUCUCACUUUCCUUCCUUCCUUUUCCUCCCUCCCUCCCUCCCCUCCAUUCUCUUUCCUCCCUCCCUUUCUCACACUUCUCCCUUCCUUUUCCUCCCUCCAUUCUUUUUUCUUUCCUCCCUCCCUUCUCUCCCUCCUUUCCUCCUUCCUUCUCAGUUUUCUUCCUUCCUUUCCUCCCUCCUCCCUCCCUCCCCUCCAUUCUCUUUCCUCCCUCCCUCCCCCCCUUUCUCACACUUCUCCCUUCCUUUUCCUCCCUCCAUUCUUUCUUUCCUCCCUCCUUUCUCUCCCUCCCCUUCUGUUUCCUUCGUUCCUUUUUCCUUCCUCUCCUCCACCCCUACCCCCCAAACACAGGCGUGCACAGUGCCAGUCACAUGCUGGCAGGCACCUUCUGGCUGGCAUCCCCUUGUCAAUCUGGGCAUCGAUCCAAGUCAGAAAGAAACACAAAACAAUGCAGCGAAAGGCUGGCAGACCUCCUUCUCUAGUUCUGGGGAGGUAGAAAAAUCC